UUGAUCCUGGCUCAAGAGAACGCUAGCGGGAGGCUUAACACAUCGCAAGUCGAGAAAGUAUGAGUAGCAAUAUUCAGAGACCGGCGCACGAGGUGAGUAACGCGUAUGCAACCUGCCUUUACAGGGGAUAGCCCGUCGAAGGCGGAUUAAUACCCCCAUAACAUUAUUUUGCCGCAUGGUAGAAUGAUAAAAGCUGAGGCGGUAAAGGAUGGCAUGCGUGACAUUAGCUAGUUGGUAGGUAACGGCCUACCCAAGGCUACGAUGUCUAGGGGUUCUGAGAGGAAGGUCCCCCCACACUGGUACUGAGACACGGACCAGACUCUUACGGGAGGCAGCAGUGAGGAAUAUUGGUCAAUGGGCGGGAGCCUGAACCAGCCAUCCCGCGUGCAGGAAGACGGCCCUAUGGGUUGUAAACUGCUUUUGUGCAGGAAGAACGCUCUCUACGAGUAGAGAGGUGACGGUACUGCAUGAAUAAGCACCGGCUAACUCCGUGCCAGCAGCCGCGGUAAUACGGAGGGUGCAAGCGUUAUCCGGAUUUAUUGGGUUUAAAGGGUGCGUAGGCGGUGAAAUAAGUCAGUGGUGAAAAGCUGCAGCUCAACUGUAGUCGUGCCAUUGAAACUGUUUUACUUGAGUAACCGUGAGGUAGGCGGAAUGUGUAGUGUAGCGGUGAAAUGCUUAGAUAUUACACAGAACACCGAUUGCGUAGGCAGCUUACUAGCGGUUUACUGACGCUGAUGCACGAAAGCGUGGGGGAUCAAACAGGAUUAGAUACCCUGGUAGUCCACGCCGUAACGAUGAUAACUCGCUGUUGGCGGUACACAGUCAGCGGCUUAGCGAAGCGUUAAGUUAUCCACCUGGGGAGUACGCUCGCAAGAGUGAAACUAAAGGAAUUGACG
This 896-nucleotide ribosomal RNA is filed under the name uncultured Bacteroidota bacterium. Its description in RNAcentral is "bacterial SSU rRNA". It matches the Rfam family "Bacterial small subunit ribosomal RNA", at positions 13 to 915 of the family's 1533-position model. The record is from RNAcentral. Lineage: Bacteria; Pseudomonadati; Bacteroidota.